GAUGAACGCUGGCGGCGUGCCUAAUACAUGCAAGUCGAGCGAACAGACGAGAAGCUUGCUGCUCUGCUGUUAGCGGCGGACGGGUGAGUAACACGUGGAUAACCUACCUAUAAGACUGGGAUAACUUCGGGAAAUCGUAGCUAAUACCGGAUAAUAUUUUGAACCGCAUGGUUCAAUAGUGAAAGACGGUCUUGCUGUCCCUUAUAGCUGGAUCCGCGCUGCAUUAGCUAGUUGGUAAGGUAACGGCUUACCAAGGCAACGAUGCAUAGCCGACCUGAGAGGGUGAUCGGGCACACUGGAACUGAGACACGGUCCAGACUCCUACGGGAGGCAGCAGUAGGGAAUCUUCCGCAAUGGGCGAAAGCAUGACGGAGCAACGCCGCGUGAGUGAUGAAGGUCUUCGGAUCGUAAAACUCUGUUAUUAGGGAAGAACAGAUGUGUAAGUAACUAUGCACAUCUUGACGGUACCUAAUCAGAAAGCCACGGCUAACUACGUG
Molecule: ribosomal RNA, 497 nt
Filed under: uncultured bacterium
Lineage: Bacteria
Description: partial 16S ribosomal RNA
Rfam family: Bacterial small subunit ribosomal RNA
Source: RNAcentral